RNAcentral lists this ribosomal RNA (528 nucleotides) under uncultured bacterium. Its description in RNAcentral is "bacterial SSU rRNA". It matches the Rfam family "Bacterial small subunit ribosomal RNA", at positions 982 to 1509 of the family's 1533-position model. The record is from RNAcentral.
CGACGUCCAGAGAACUUAGCAGAGAUGCUUUGGUGCCUUCGGGAACUCUGAGACAGGUGCUGCAUGGCUGUCGUCAGCUCGUGUUGUGAAAUGUUCGGGUUAAGUCCCGCAACGAGCGCAACCCUUAUCCUUUGUUGCCAGCGGCUCGGCCGGGAACUCAAAGGAGACUGCCGGUGAUAAACCGGAGGAAGGUGGGGAUGACGUCAAGUCAUCAUGGCCCUUACGGCCAGGGCUACACACGUGCUACAAUGGCGCAUACAAAGAGAAGCGACCUCGCGAGAGCAAGCGGACCUCACAAAGUGCGUCGUAGUCCGGAUUGGAGUCUGCAACUCGACUCCAUGAAGUCGGAAUCGCUAGUAAUCGUAGAUCAGAAUGCUACGGUGAAUACGUUCCCGGGCCUUGUACACACCGCCCGUCACACCAUGGGAGUGGGUUGCAAAAGAAGUAGGUAGCUUAACCUUCGGGAGGGCGCUUACCACUUUGUGAUUCAUGACUGGGGUGAAGUCGUAACAAGGUAAGCGUAGCGAG